Non-coding RNA from Vigna umbellata (rice bean), 3578 nucleotides. The record is from RefSeq and is a predicted model, not a curated record. NCBI's taxonomy places the organism in Eukaryota, Viridiplantae, Streptophyta, Magnoliopsida, Fabales, Fabaceae.
UUCCCUCUUCCAUUCUGAUUUUUUCAAUUACUUUACCGUAUACCAACUCUGCAAUCUCAAUUUUUCACUCCAUUGCUUUCUGUCAAUCUGGUUUUCUGAAAAUGCAGCGACAAUAAUUAAAAAAGAAGGAAGAAGAGUAUGAAACUAUUUUUGCUUUUGCGGUAUUCCCAUUUUAUCUUGGCAUUGUAGAAUUGGUGGUGGGUCAUGAUAAUUUAACAAAGCAAAGGACGGGUUGGUUCUGCUGGAAACAAGUUCAAAAUGUCACUGGGUUUGCCAGUGGCAGCGGUGGUGAGCUGUGCUGAUAACACUGUUGUAGGCUAAGAAUCUUUACAUCAUAUCGGUGAAAGAAAUGAAGGAUUGCCUCAACAGAACGCCACGUGAGCCCCAAAACAGACAGAAACUUGCAAGAGAAAACCAGUGAACCACAAAAUUGUUACUCAGGUGUGUUCUGUUUAAAUCCAUGCCUAGAAACAAACAAAUUCAGUGCCGUUUUUUGCCUUUUUCUAGUGUCCAAUCUAAGUUGCUUGAGCUUAUUCUAAACUUGCGAUUUUACGCGAGUUUGCUCGAGUUCACACGAGCCUACUCAAAAAAGAUCAUGCGUGAGAGUUCAGUAGGUUCAAGGGCAUGACUAAUGCACUUUUAGGGGUUUUAGAACUUGUUAUUUUCUUACUGAAAUGGAAGGAUUCAAAUGUUGCUGGUUGAGCAUCACAUAUCUUUUUAAUAUUAUUAACGAGGAUAUGGUAGCUUGAUGUAUAAUUAACUAGCUAGAUCGAUGCAUGCUAUCGAAUAUAUCGAGUUGGAUCUCUCAUGGGAUCUUACUUUUCGCCAUUCGGUACAUUGUUUCAUUCUUUCCAAUUUUUUUCUGCUUUAUGAUGAGUGAUGUUCUGUUCUGUUGAUAUUUAUUUUUGAAAGGUAACUUAGCGCAGUUUGGUUUUAUAAAAAAAAUACUGGUAAUGUAGUGUGAAGAUUUUAAUUUUGAGGUUUUUCUGCACUUCUUAAGUCCAGUUAUCCUUAUACUCUACCAUACCUUUAUCGAGCCCUUUUGUUUAUCAUCUCUGUCAAGGUUUUGGGGUUUUUUAUUUUUCUUAUAAUUUUCGAUUUUUAUUAUGAAAUUUCUGUUCAUUUGGGAAAUGGAAUGUCCGAAGAGAUACAAUUUGUAAGUGAAGGUUUUGAUAAUACUUAUUAUUAGUUUUGUGGACUUCAUCUCUCAUUGUUUCUCUCUCUCAUCUUUUUAAGGUUUUAAUUCUCUGAUAGAUAGUUUCUAUCUCCAGACUUUAGUCAGGUAUUCUCCUAAAAAAUAUUAUGGUUGAUACAGUUACAAGUCUGGAAAAUUAAUGUGCCCAUCGUUACAGAUGUGAUAGUCUUCUCGUGCUUACAUCUGCUCCAUUGGGGCUCCACACAUUUGUGGCUGAAUUUUACGUAUUUAUCUGUUACACUAUAUAUUAUAUAUUAUACAAAGACAAAAGAAAUUGUUUUUUAGGGUAUUUUUAGUUUUCGUUUUCUUUACGAACUAAAAUCUUUUUAAAAUUUUUUAAAUCCUAUACCCUCAGUUUAUAUGUUGACAUAUUUCCCUAUAUAAGUCAUACUUUACUCAUUUCAUUUGCAUUAUUGUCUCCAGACAUUAGUAAGGUAUCCUGCUCAACAAACUAUGGUUGAUACAGUUACAGGUCUGGGAAAUUAAACCGAGUCCAUUGUUACAGAUGUGAUGACCUUUUUGUCAUGCUCACAUCUACUCCAUUGGGGCUUUACAGUCAUGUCAGCAAGCUCCAAUGGUGGAAACCUAUAAGAACAACUUAUUUCCAGGAACCCCUGUUAGAGCCGCCAUUGGCCUAAUAUGGGAGAGAGAUGAGCUUCUGGACUAUCAAUUUUCUUAGAGGCAUGGCUCUGGUGUAUUAUUUUCAAUCCUGGGCUUAUGACAUCUGUAUCAAUAAUAUUCUCUUAAUACAGUUAUCCGUUUCCAAGAACCCCUGUUAGAACCGCCAUUGGCCUAAUAUGGGAGAGAGAUGAGCUUCUGGAUUAUCAAUUUUCUUAGAGGCAUGGCUCUGGUGUAUUAUUUUCAAUCCUGGGCUUAUGACAUUUUUGUCAAUAUAUUCUCUUAAUACAAUUAUCUAUUUCCAAGAACCCCUGUUAGAACCGCCAUUGGCCUAAUAUGGGAGAGAGAUGAGCUUCUGGAUUAUCAAUUUUCUUAGAGGCAUGGCUCUGGUGUAUUAUUUUCAAUCCUGGGCUUAAGACAUUUUUAUCAAUAAUAUUCUAUUGAUACAGUUAUCCAUUUCAUGCUUCUGCUUUUUGGGCAUUUUUGAGCCUUGAAUUGCAUACCAGAUUUUUGUACCAGUUAUUUUCAUAUUUGACCCACUUUCUGUUUGUUCUGGAAUAAUGGUCAGAAGGGAGACAGUGAUGUUGUUUUCAUCUUUUAGUUCAGAAAAUGGACAUUAGUAAGAGCCUUAGUCCUGGCAAGGUAAUUCAGUGUCGGUUACAAUCGUGGCCUUUUUAUACAAAUGCUGAUGAUGCAGCCAUGGUGAGGCUCUUCUCUUCUGUCUCUUGCCUGUGUAAAGAUGAAUCUGAGUCUUUUUAUCUGAAACCCUGCUAUUAGGGUUACACUCAUGAGUCAUUAGUUUAAGUGUGAGGCUCCACUCUUUGAGAGAAGGUUGUCUUGAUAGCUGUUGCCCUCUUGAAGUUGCUGUGUUAGCCAAUGAUCAUUAUAAUUGAGUUUACCAAACAGCUCUCCGCAUACAUACACCCACCCAAACAUAUAUUUCUUUCUGCUUCUACUGGGAUUCAGUUACUUCUUCUUCUUCUUCUUGCUACUACGAGGCAAUGAUGAUGUUUUCUGCAAUUAGACCAGAUAUGAGUGAAGAGCUGUGUCCUGGCUAGGUGACUUGGCAUCUGUGUGAAAUUUACCUUCUGGUUCUUGCACAGAUGCUAUUGACGCAGCCUGUGCACAAGCCAUUCCUUUGCUGUCUGAAAAAAGGCGAAUCUGAGCCUCCUUUAUUCAUAAUAAUUUUAACUUUCUGACAAUUAUGAAUUUAUAUUUUCCUUCUGAAUGCUUUAAUAUGGCAGGUGACAGGAACACAUUAGUUUACUCCGUUCAUUGUUCACCAAUAUGGCCGAUGCUUUUUAUUGCACUUAAACUAGUGCUUUCCUUUGGCUUCCAAUGUUUCUGCAUUUGUAUGUGACUUGGAGAGUGACAUGUGGCUGAAAAGUGUCCUUUUUGAGCAAUUGAAAAUAAUUUUAUUUUUGAGGUUUCUCUGCCCCUCUUAAGACCAGUUAUCAUUAUACUAUACCAUACCCUUACCGAGCCCUUACUAUAAUUUCAGUUUUGGCAGCCGUGUUAGCAAGCUCCAAUGGUGGAAACCCAUAAGAACUACUUAUUUCUUAGAUGGUAGAGGGACGAGGUUUUGGGCAAUGAAUUUUCUGAAGAGGAUCUCUGCACAGAAACAAAAAUGAAAGGAAAAGAGAAACAUUUAGCCAAAAAUCGAGGACUAUUGAAAGAAAAGUAGAGGUAAUGGUACUCACCUAAAGAUAAUUUUAGUCCAACCAUAGUAACCAGCUGCUACGAGGUUGUCGAUUGUGGCUGAUCU